GCGCCGGUGGCGGAAUUGGUAGACGCGCCAGCUUGAGGGGCUGGUGGGCUUUUGCUCGUGGAGGUUCGAGUCCUCUCCGGCGCA
This 84-nucleotide transfer RNA is filed under the name Actinomycetes bacterium. RNAcentral describes it as "tRNA-Leu". It matches the Rfam family "tRNA". From Rfam's summary of the family: Transfer RNA (tRNA) molecules are approximately 80 nucleotides in length. Their secondary structure includes four short double-helical elements and three loops (D, anti-codon, and T loops). RNAcentral also lists the same sequence under 3 other names. Lineage: Bacteria; Bacillati; Actinomycetota; Actinomycetes. The record is from RNAcentral.